Long non-coding RNA from Macrobrachium nipponense, 2690 nucleotides. RefSeq lists it as uncharacterized. NCBI's taxonomy places the organism in Eukaryota, Metazoa, Arthropoda, Malacostraca, Decapoda, Palaemonidae. The record is from RefSeq and is a predicted model, not a curated record. The transcript is spliced from 3 exons.
UGAUAGUCUGUAGGGCGCUUUAGAAUCGAAUAACAAAAAUGACAGAAAGAAGAUAAUAUGUUUAUGAGCUUCUGUUUGUCGUGUUAUAUGUACUGAAGCAGACAGACGUUUGCCGCAUCCAAGUUUAGUUGUAAUGGUAUAGCCAAGUGAAGAAUGAUAACAGUAUAAAAGUCCAAGUCAGCCUUUUGAAACCAAGAAAGUCAGAACUUCCCUUUUCACAAGAAAGCGCUUCAUCCAAGGUGUUAAUUUGAUGGCUACAGGGAGACGUUUCUCAUCCAUACAUGAAAAUGUUAUGUAAUUUUUUUUUUUUUUUUUUUUUUGCAUGUUCAGAUGUAGAAAAUGUUUAAAAGAUUAGUGGCAAUGCUAUUGUGGGUUUUCACUUUGAGAAGUUGAACGUAUUAGGUUUAAUUAAAAUCGGCAUUCUGCUUUUGCUUUAGUAAUAUGGAACUGUCCAUUAGUCAUACCAGUGAUCUUUUUUUAAACUGAUCUGUAAGUGUUAAUAAACAAGAUUUUAAGUUGGGUUUUCCUAAUGGUACUUUUGUGAGUGUUCUAUCUGAUCUCUAUAAUGCACUUUCUUCCUACCUUCAUGACUUCCCAGCAAGUUCAGGUUGUCUUGUAUGCUCAUUCAGCGGGAUUUUCUUGGCCCUCCUGCUAGUCUUUGUGAUACUAUUCCAAAUCCUUUUUUUUUUAUCAUAUAUAAAUAACUGGUCUCACCCUUUUCAUAUAUUAUGCUUGAAACAUCAAUACAUAUUUGAGGUGUGUGUUUUCAGUCCUCUAGACAUCAUAAUUAUGUCAGCAAUUUCAUGUGUAAAAUGGUGUUUUAAUAACACUUAAACUUUGCAUUGAAAAUAUUUGUUUCUGAUUAUGCAUAUCUUGUUCAUUUUGAAUUGUGCUAAGGGGAUACCACCCUUAAUUGCCAUUGGACAAGUACAGUAAUUCCUUUCCACUUCACAUUUGUGAUUUUGUAAUUCAUAUUCAUGCUGUGCUCUCAGUGCUUUAUGCACAGCCCAUAAUUACUAUCCCAAAUUAAGGAAAAUGUCCCACACACAGCUUGGGAUUUUACCACAACAUUUUGUCCCUCUUAGGUCCAUUUUUUUCCCUUUGUAAUUUACCUAGGCAUCAGAAAUCACUAGUCGUUUAUGGUGUAAAAAUCCUGGGUAUUUUAAGAGGCACUUAAUACUGUGCACUUCUUUUGAAGUUAUAUAGUACAAGAUUUCUCUCUCUCACUUGUGUAAGUCCUAAACCCUUACUCUUUCCAGUUCUUGAUAGUUUCACUCUUGUAAAUAUCCUUCACCUUCCCUCAUAACUCUUAAGCCCUUUCAAGUGUUCUUUCUUUCUCUUUUCGUCCUUCACCCUACCUCUCUCAGCUUUUUCUAAUAUCGCUCAAGUUCUUUAGCUCUUGUGUCCUUCACCCUCCCUCUCCUCAUAGGAGGGUAGUGCCAUCAGUGCACCAGCAUCACUUGAGGUUCUUUGCAGUGCGCGUUCGGCCCCUAGCUGCAACCACUUUCAUUCCUUUUGCUGUACCUCCUUUCAUAUUCUCUUUCUUCAUCUUAUUUCACUUUCCACAGUCUCCUAAUAGUACUUGAUUCUUAGUGCAACUGUGAGGUUUUCCUCCUGUUACACCUUUCAAACCUUUUACUGUCAAUUUCCAUUUCAGCAGUGAAUGACUUCAUUAGGUCCUAGUGCUUGGUCUAUAUUCAAUUCACCCUGCCUCCAAGUCUUCUUGGUAUCUCUUGUAAGUGUCCUCUCUUUAACUCUUGUAGUGGCCUUCACCCUCCCUCUCUCUGGCUGGUUAGUAUCUCUCUUAUUCAUAAAUAAAUUGGGGAUUUUUGUAAACCCCACAUUAUUCUUGUCUUUAUUCAUGUGCUCAAUUUAUGAAGACCAAAAAGACAUUUUAAGGGAAGUAAUACUGUCACCAUGUAUUGCUUAAAAUAUCAAAAGUUUACUAAUGUCACUAAAUGUACACAUUUAAUAUCUAUCAAAAGUAAAAUAUUUUUUUGAAUGAAAAUUCUGAGUACAUACAUGCCAUUGUAAACUCAAUUAGGUGUUAUUUUGGUGUUGCCUAUUGUUCUAAGCAUAGGCUGUUAUGUAAAGGAAUUGUGUUGUUAAACUGCAGUUAUGUUCUUCGUUCAUGGAGUUCUGGAAAUUCAUCAGUCAAGAGCGUUACUUAUUAUUAUUACCUAGACAGCUAAAGGAUUAUGCUACUUUUACCCAAAGGAAAUUCAUUUUGUGAUCAUGAUAGUAUGUUCCUCAUACUAUAGUUAUAUUUUGUAAAAUGUUAAGGACAAGUAUUUGUUUUUCAAAGAUUAUUACUUGGGAAGACAGCGAGGUCUGUGUAUAUUAUUUACGAAAAUUGUAACCAUGUAACUAUUUCCUUUACAUAUAACAUGAUGAAAACACUGGUAGAACUAAAGCCCCGUUCACAUGGUCGAACUUUGCCUGACAGACUGUUCGAUGUGACGUCAGAAGCAGGAAAAAUCAGAACCUUACCUGACGUUUCUCUGCUUCUGACGUCACAUCGAACAAAGUUCGACUAUGGACAGGGUUUCAGUAUUCCUUCAUGCUAUAUCCAUAAUGCUCAAGUGGUAUAGGCAAUGCAUUUAUCUAGGUCUUGGCACAGUUUGGUAUACAGCAUUUUACAAAAAUCAUUGAAAAAAAAUACAAGGAAAAAUAAACAAUGAAUGCACUUG